AGAUGGACCUGCGUUGUAUUAGCUGGUUGGUGGGGUAACGGCUCACCAAGGCGACGAUACAUAGCCGACCUGAGAGGGUGAUCGGCCACACUGGGACUGAGACACGGCCCAGACUCCUACGGGAGGCAGCAGUAGGGAAUCUUCGGCAAUGGACGGAAGUCUGACCGAGCAACGCCGCGUGAGUGAAGAAGGUUUUCGGAUCGUAAAGCUCUGUUGUAAGAGAAGAACGAGUGUGAGAGUGGAAAGUUCACACUGUGACGGUAUCUUACCAGAAAGGGACGGCUAACUACGUGCCAGCAGCCGCGGUAAUACGUAGGUCCCGAGCGUUGUCCGGAUUUAUUGGGCGUAAAGCGAGCGCAGGCGGUUAGAUAAGUCUGAAGUUAAAGGCUGUGGCUUAACC
Molecule: ribosomal RNA, 400 nt
Filed under: uncultured Bacilli bacterium
Lineage: Bacteria; Bacillati; Bacillota; Bacilli
Description: bacterial SSU rRNA
Rfam family: Bacterial small subunit ribosomal RNA
Source: RNAcentral